RNAcentral lists this ribosomal RNA (256 nucleotides) under uncultured bacterium. RNAcentral describes it as "partial 16S ribosomal RNA". It matches the Rfam family "Bacterial small subunit ribosomal RNA", at positions 524 to 778 of the family's 1533-position model. The record is from RNAcentral.
UACGUAGGGGGCAAGCGUUGUCCGGAAUCAUUGGGCGUAAAGCGCGUGUAGGCGGUUCGGUAAGUCUGCUGUGAAAGUCCAGGGCUCAACCCUGGGAUGCCGGUGGAUACUGUCGGACUAGAGUACGGAAGAGGCGAGUGGAAUUCCCGGUGUAGCGGUGAAAUGCGCAGAUAUCGGGAGGAACACCAAUUGCGAAGGCAGCUCGCUGGGACGUUACUGAACGCUGAGACGCGGAAAGCGUGGGAGCAAACAGGGG